This 754-nucleotide long non-coding RNA is filed under the name Dermacentor andersoni. RNAcentral describes it as "uncharacterized LOC126540060". The record is from RNAcentral. Lineage: Eukaryota; Metazoa; Arthropoda; Arachnida; Ixodida; Ixodidae.
GCACCUUAACAGCUGAGAAACAAGCUUGAUAUUAGUUUCUCUAUGACAGGAUACCUUGCAUGAGACGAGACGUGCAGAACAAAGCGGCCUGCUGAACCUUGCACUCGUUGCACCCACUCGGAAUUCAAGGGCUUCAAGCCAUGGGCCUGGAGCCAUGGGCCCGACGUGAAGAUUAUGAAUUUACAUUGAAGAAGGAGCAGGUCGCAAUACAGAAACGACAACUGGAACUGGACGAGAAAAAGUUGGCAUUGGAAGAAAGGACAGUUGCCCUGGAGGAGGAGCAGCAUGGCUUGCAAAUUCAAACUUUGAAAGAACAACACAAUCAGCUGUUCGAGCGCAUGGAGCGCAUUGAGAAUAUUUUGAAGGACAGAAUUACUGGGCUGAAUGCUAUCUAAAUAAUUUCUUGUAAUCAUAGAUGCACAUGUCAAUUUAAUGGAGUACUAGAAGACACAGACAUGCAGUUAAUAUCCUAAACAUACCUAAACAGCUUGACAUAGCUUGCUGUCAGUCACGAUUGCUUGCUCAGGGAGGAUGGUAUUGGGUAAAUCACAUGGGUGAAGGCUGUUUCCAACUUUCCAUAUGUUUUUUUUUUUGUAACAGCCACUUUUUUCGUGUUCAUUCCUCAAAGAAAACAGACUCAAUUUGCUCAACUAUCUUCUGCUGUUUAUUAUGAUUGCUCCAAGUACUCAAUAAAAGAAACUUGAUAGUUUGGCCUGUGUUACAUAACAAUGCAAUAAAAGAAGCAAUAUUUUAA